CGGGUGAGUUACACGUAGGUGACCUAUCUCGCAGUGGGGGAUAACAGGGAGAAGUUCCUGCUAAUACCGCGUACGCUGGGCAAUUUUGGAUAAUGCCCAGGAAAGAUGGCCUCUAUACUAUGCUAUCACUGUGAGAAGGGCCUGCGGGCCAUUAGCUUGUUGGUGGGGUAAAGGCCUACCAAGGCGAUGAUGGCAAGCCGGUCUGAGAGGACGAUCGGCCACACUGGAACUGAGACACGGUCCAGACUCC
RNAcentral lists this ribosomal RNA (250 nucleotides) under uncultured bacterium. RNAcentral's name for it is "partial 16S ribosomal RNA". It matches the Rfam family "Bacterial small subunit ribosomal RNA", at positions 103 to 339 of the family's 1533-position model. The record is from RNAcentral.